This 430-nucleotide ribosomal RNA is filed under the name Pseudomonadota bacterium. RNAcentral's name for it is "Proteobacteria bacterium partial 16S ribosomal RNA". It matches the Rfam family "Bacterial small subunit ribosomal RNA", at positions 355 to 776 of the family's 1533-position model. The record is from RNAcentral. Lineage: Bacteria; Pseudomonadati; Pseudomonadota.
UGGGGAAUAUUGGACAAUGGGGGGAACCCUGAUCCAGCCAUGCCGCGUGUGUGAAGAAGGCCUUAUGGUUGUAAAGCACUUUAAGCGAGGAGGAGGGUACUGGUAUUAAUACUACCAGCUACUGGACGUUACUCGCAGAAUAAGCACCGGCUAACUCUGUGCCAGCAGCCGCGGUAAUACAGAGGGUGCGAGCGUUAAUCGGAUUUACUGGGCGUAAAGCGUGCGUAGGCGGCUAAUUGAGUCGGAUGUGAAAUCCCCGAGCUUAACUUGGGAAUUGCAUUCGAUACUGGUUAGCUAGAGUGUGGGAGAGGAUGGUAGAAUUCCAGGUGUAGCGGAGAAAUGCGUAGAGAUCUGGAGGAAUACCGAUGGCGAAAGCAGCCAUCUGGCCUAACACUGACGCUGAGGUACGAAAGCAUGGGGAGCAAACAGG